RNAcentral lists this ribosomal RNA (490 nucleotides) under uncultured bacterium. Its description in RNAcentral is "partial 16S ribosomal RNA". It matches the Rfam family "Bacterial small subunit ribosomal RNA", at positions 30 to 507 of the family's 1533-position model. The record is from RNAcentral.
AUUGAACGCUGGCGGCAGGCUUAACACAUGCAAGUCGAACGGUAACAUAAAGGAGCUUGCUUCUUUGAUGACGAGUGGCGGACGGGUGAGUAAUGCUUGGGAAUCUAGCUUAUGGAGGGGGACAACUACGGGAAACUGUAGCUAAUACCGCGUAGAAUCGGGAGAUGAAAGUGUGGGACCUUCGGGCCACAUGCCAUAGGAUGAGCCCAAGUGGGAUUAGGUAGUUGGUGAGGUAAAGGCUCACCAAGCCGACGAUCUCUAGCUGGUCUGAGAGGAUGACCAGCCACACUGGAACUGAGACACGGCCCAGACUCCUACGGGAGGCAGCAGUGGGGAAUAUUGCGCAAUGGGGGCAACCCUGACGCAGCCAUGCCGCGUGAAUGAAGAAGGCCUUCGGGUUGUAAAGUUCUUUCGGUAGCGAGGAAGGCAUUUAGUUUAAUAGACUAGGUGAUUGACGUUAACUACAGAAGAAGCACCGGCUAACUCCGUG